GACGAACGCUGGCGGCGUGCUUAACACAUGCAAGUCGAACGGAAAGGCCCUGCUUUUGUGGGGUGCUCGAGUGGCGAACGGGUGAGUAACACGUGAGUAACCUGCCCUUGACUGUGGGAUAACUUCAGGAAACUGGGGCUAAUACCGACUAGGAGCUCCUGCUGCUUGGUGGGGGUUGGAAAGCUUCGGCGGUUGGGGAUUGACUCGCGGCUUAUCAGCUUGUGGGUGGGGUGGCGGCUUACCAAGGCUUUGACGGGUAGCCGGCCUGAGAGGGUGGCCGGGCUCAUUGCGCCUGAGGUACGGCCCAGUGUCCUACGGGAGGCAGUAGGCGGGAAUCUUGCCCAAUGGGCGCAAGCCUGAUGCAGCAACCCCGCGUGCGUGAUGACGGCCUUCGUGUUGGAAACCGCUUUCGCCUGUGACGAAGCUUGAGUGACGGUAAUGGGUAAAGAAGCACCGGCUAACUACGUG
This 468-nucleotide ribosomal RNA is filed under the name uncultured bacterium. RNAcentral describes it as "partial 16S ribosomal RNA". It matches the Rfam family "Bacterial small subunit ribosomal RNA", at positions 28 to 507 of the family's 1533-position model. The record is from RNAcentral.